AAAAUGUUGUACUUGGGCUUCUUCAACACAGUGUAUGAAAAUGCCUAUCAGAAUGUGUGUUUGGUUUUUCUGUCUGAAACAGUUCAUUAGACAGUGCCACACUGUUUCCUUUCCGAAACCGAAACUAUGCUCUUUCAACUGUUUCUCUAGCUGCUCAGCUGUGAAUAUAUUUUGACUCUGUUCUGUCUUAGACUGUCUGUGCUCAGACAGAUGGACCUCCUGGGAUGUAUGCAGACUUGGUUUAAGAGAAUAAAGCUCCAUUUGCCUUAAUGGAGUUGGAACAUCUUCCAAUAAGUGUGAAUUUGGCAGGCUUGUUUUGAGGGAGGAAAAUGGUAUGCACGCUCCUUCCGUGAUGGGUGAGCGUGCCUGCAGCACCUGACGAGCUGGGUCAGCCCAGCUCCAGACAGAGACACCUUUGCUUGGGUACCUACAUAUGCACCAUGUCUCCAAGCUCCUGUAAUAGCCAGUACUCUCAGUGGUGCUUAGAGAGCCAAGUGGCUACUUUGGGGUUAGCUGAACCACCUUUUCACUGUAUUGAUGAGGUUUCCUGACAUAACCAGAGUAAGGACUUGCAGAGCAUGCAGAUAAGUAUACGUAGAAAUACACCUUUAUGUGCCUUAAUCUGGACUGAAUUCCACCCGUGGUGCUGUUGUUAACUCAAACUGAAUGACAAGCAUCUCCUUUUCRCACCAGAGCUGUGACUAGUCCCGCUGCAUAGGCAAAGGGUCACCAUGCUACGGCUGGGAUAUGCGUAAGACCCACAGGCAGUACAGGUGAAGCCCUGAUGCUACAGCUACAUGACUUGGCUAUGUGACUGCAGGCUGCACUGGUACAGGGUCUGAUGGAUGAGGUGAUGCCCUGGUUUAGGAGGCAGUGACUUGGCAGGGAAAGCUGAUCCUUACAUGCCCCCGUGUCAUCCAGAAGCCUACAGCACACCCAUCUCUAAUGGAAAAAACAGCCCCUCAUAGGGCUGUUAUCAUUCCCAACUGAUGAGCUGCUCUAGCACCUUGUCUUUUUGGCUCUCCCAGGUAUGUGGCACGUGUCUUGGUCUCUCAGCUUUAUUGAAGAGUCUCAUGAGGACUGGAAGUCUGGCCAUAUGUGUAUCUAGGACGAAGUUCAUUUCUGCACAGAGAUCAGAUAUGUGUGAUGUGAUUUCCACAGACCUCCUCAAAAGACAGAAUUUCUGUGAAGAAGCCACCAAGAAAUUCUGUUCAAAUCAAGCUGCUGAUGUUUCGGAAUUACAAGUUAGUUGUCAAAAGGAUUUGAUGCACCACGAGAAAGGGAAGGAUGUGACUAGGACAGCUACAUUAGUGGAAACCAGUGUGAUUAAAGGUCUGACAAAUAAGGCACUUGGAAAGUUUGAGAGAGAAAAGGAACUGAAAGAGUGCAACUAUGACUAUGUGGAUGAAAACAUAGUUGAAAACAUAAGAAAAGUAUUUCAAGACACCACAGUUCAAAAUAAGAAUGUAGUCUCUGAAGAAAAAAGAGACAUUUGA
This 1496-nucleotide long non-coding RNA is filed under the name Dromaius novaehollandiae (emu). Its description in RNAcentral is "lncRNA (ENSDNVG00000018135.1)". Lineage: Eukaryota; Metazoa; Chordata; Aves; Casuariiformes; Dromaiidae. The record is from RNAcentral.